This 465-nucleotide ribosomal RNA is filed under the name uncultured bacterium. RNAcentral describes it as "bacterial SSU rRNA". It matches the Rfam family "Bacterial small subunit ribosomal RNA", at positions 330 to 792 of the family's 1533-position model. The record is from RNAcentral.
UCCAGACUCCUACGGGAGGCAGCAGUGAGGAAUAUUGGUCAAUGGGCGGAAGCCUGAACCAGCCAAGUCGCGUGAGGGAAGAAGGCCCUGCGGGUCGCAGACCUCUUUGGACGGGGAGCAAGGCCGCCGACGUGUCGGCGGAAGGAGAGUACCCGUAGAACAAGCAUCGGCUAACUCCGUGCCAGCAGCCGCGGUAAUACGGAGGAUGCGAGCGUUAUCCGGAAUUACUGGGUGUAAAGGGAGCGUAGGCGGGAGAGCAAGUCGACUGUGAAAUCUAUGGGCUUAACCCAUAGCUGCGAUCGAAACUGUUCAUCUUGAGUGAAGUAGAGGCAGGCGGAAUUCCUAGUGUAGCGGUGAAAUGCGUAAAUAUUAGGAGGAACACCAGUGGCGAAGGCGGCCUGCUGGGCUUUAACUGACGCUGAGGCUCGAAAGCGUGGGUAGCAAACAGGAUUAGAUACCCCCGUA